AGUGAACGCUGGCGGUAGGCCUAACACAUGCAAGUCGAACGGCAGCACAGUAAGAGCUUGCUCUUACGGGUGGCGAGUGGCGGACGGGUGAGGAAUACAUCGGAAUCUACUUUUUCGUGGGGGAUAACGUAGGGAAACUUACGCUAAUACCGCAUACGACCUACGGGUGAAAGCAGGGGAUCUUCGGACCUUGCGCGAUUGAAUGAGCCGAUGUCGGAUUAGCUAGUUGGCGGGGUAAAGGCCCACCAAGGCGACGAUCCGUAGCUGGUCUGAGAGGAUGACCGGCCCAACUUGAACUGAGACACGGUCCAGACUCCUACGGGAGGCAGCAGUGGGGAAUAUUGGACAAUGGGCGCAAGCCUGAUCCAGCCAUAUCGCGUGGGUGAAGAAGGCCUUCGGGUUGUAAAGCCCUUUUGUUGGGAAAGAAAAGCAGCAGGUUAAUACCCCGCUGUUCUGACGGUACCCAAAGAAUAAGCACCGGCUAACUUCGUG
RNAcentral lists this ribosomal RNA (492 nucleotides) under uncultured bacterium. RNAcentral's name for it is "partial 16S ribosomal RNA". It matches the Rfam family "Bacterial small subunit ribosomal RNA", at positions 29 to 507 of the family's 1533-position model. The record is from RNAcentral.